CCUACGGGGUGCAGCAGUGGGGAAUAUUGCACAAUGGACGCAAGUCUGAUGCAGCGACGCCGCGUGCAGGAUGGAGGCUUUCGGGUUGUAAACUUCUUUUUAGGGGGAGGAGCAGCAGACGGUAGCCCUUGAUUAAGCAACGGCUAACUAAGUGCCAGCAUCCGCGGUAAUACGUAGGUGGCAAGCGUUGUCCGGAUUUACUGGGUGUAAAGGGCGUGCAGCCGGGAAGACAAGUCAGAUGUGAAAUCCCACGGCUCAACGGCGGCACGGCAUUUGGUACUGUCGUUCUUGAGUGUGGGAGAGGGAAUUGGAAUUCCUGGUGUAGCGGUGGAAUGCGUAGAUAUUAGGAAGAACACCAGUGGCGAAGGCAGAUUUCUGGACGACUACUGACGGUGAGGCGCGAAAGCGUGGGGAGCAAACAGGAUUAGAUACCCCAGUAGUC
Molecule: ribosomal RNA, 442 nt
Filed under: uncultured bacterium
Lineage: Bacteria
Description: partial 16S ribosomal RNA
Rfam family: Bacterial small subunit ribosomal RNA
Source: RNAcentral